This 253-nucleotide ribosomal RNA is filed under the name uncultured bacterium. RNAcentral's name for it is "partial 16S ribosomal RNA". It matches the Rfam family "Bacterial small subunit ribosomal RNA", at positions 524 to 776 of the family's 1533-position model. The record is from RNAcentral.
UACGGAGGUGGCAAGCGUUGUUCGGAAUUAUUGGGCGUAAAGGGCGCGCAGGCGGCUUGGUAAGUCAGAUGUGAAAGCCCAGGGCUUAACUCGGGAAUUGCAUCUGAAACUGCUUAGCUUGAGUUUUGGAGGGGGUAGUGGAAUUCCCAGUGUAGCGGUGAAAUGCGUAGAUAUUGGGAGGAACACCAGCGGCGAAGGCGACUACCUGGACAGUAACUGACGCUGAUGCGCGAAAGCUAGGGGAGCGAACGGG